RNAcentral lists this ribosomal RNA (499 nucleotides) under uncultured marine bacterium. RNAcentral's name for it is "bacterial SSU rRNA". It matches the Rfam family "Bacterial small subunit ribosomal RNA", at positions 44 to 526 of the family's 1533-position model. The record is from RNAcentral.
GUGCCUAAUACAUGCAAGUCGAGCGGACGGAUGGGAGCUUGCUCCCUGAAGUCAGCGGCGGACGGGUGAGUAACACGUGGGCAACCUGCCUGUAAGACUGGGAUAACUCCGGGAAACCGGGGCUAAUACCGGAUAACUCUUUUCCUCACAUGAGGAAAAGCUGAAAGAUGGUUUCGGCUAUCACUUACAGAUGGGCCCGCGGCGCAUUAGCUAGUUGGUGAGGUAACGGCUCACCAAGGCCACGAUGCGUAGCCGACCUGAGAGGGUGAUCGGCCACACUGGGACUGAGACACGGCCCAGACUCCUACGGGAGGCAGCAGUAGGGAAUCUUCCGCAAUGGACGAAAGUCUGACGGAGCAACGCCGCGUGAGUGAUGAAGGUUUUCGGAUCGUAAAACUCUGUUGUCAGGGAAGAACAAGUACCGGAGUAACUGCCGGUACCUUGACGGUACCUGACCAGAAAGCCACGGCUAACUACGUGCCAGCAGCCGCGGUAAUAC